GGGCAAUACAGAAUAUUACAAAGCAAGGCUCAUAACCUAAUUAGAAAAAAAUGCCUUAUCUAAAAAAUCACUCAGUCUAAAACCGUAUAGCAAGAGUUCGAGUCCAAAACCAAGAGUUUGAGGCCCAAGUCACUGAAGUCUGAAACCCCAUAACAAGGUAGCUUCAACUCGUAGAUGCCGACUCAAUGGUAAGGAAGGACCUUUGCAGAAUUACACAAAAAGCAUCGACAUCAAUGCCAAUGAAACACAUAUAAGGGAAGCCUCUCCAUCGAGGGCAAAAAGUGCAAAUGACGUUCAUUGAGAUUUAGCCCUUGUAAUUAGUCCUCAUCCUAGGCCAUUUAUGCAGUCGAAGACAAGACCGAAGCACAGAGGAUCUACGGGUAGUGAGGCAGAGUUCUUAGGCACUCUCAAUCUCUUUUAGCCAUUGAGGAACUCAAUGCCCUACUGUUGACAUUAAUAGCGUUCUCAAAGGUACCCAAUCA
Molecule: unclassified non-coding RNA, 482 nt
Filed under: Hevea brasiliensis (rubber tree)
Lineage: Eukaryota; Viridiplantae; Streptophyta; Magnoliopsida; Malpighiales; Euphorbiaceae
Source: RNAcentral